AUUGAACGCUGGCGGCAGGCCUAACACAUGCAAGUCGAACGCGUGGCGGACGGGUGAGAAUUGUGCGGGAAACUGUCUGAUGGAGGGGGAUAAAUACGGGAAACGGUACUUAAAACCGCAUACCCGCAGAUGUACCCAGAGGGGAUUAGCUUGUUGUGGGGGUAACGGCUCACCAAGGCGACGAUCCCUAGCUGGUCUGAGAGGAUGACCAGCCACACUGGAACUGAGACACGGUCCAGACUCCUACGGGAGGCAGCAGUGGGGAAUAUUGCACAAUGGGCGAAAGCCUGAUGCAGCCAUGCCGCGUGUAUGAAGAAGGCCUUCGGGUUGUAAAGUACUUUCAGCGGGGAGGCGUUACCCGCAGAAGAAGCACCGGCUAACUCCGUGCCAGCAGCCGCGGUAAUUC
This 406-nucleotide ribosomal RNA is filed under the name uncultured bacterium. Its description in RNAcentral is "partial 16S ribosomal RNA". It matches the Rfam family "Bacterial small subunit ribosomal RNA", at positions 30 to 526 of the family's 1533-position model. The record is from RNAcentral.